AAACAAAACUCAGAAACAAUUAAAAGACUAAAUGCAAACUACGAACACUAGACUUAUUCACAACUCAACCUAUCAUGCCAUCAAUCAUUUUUCAGUCAUUUCCUCAAUCAAAACUGCACAAUCAUAUUUCUCAACUUUAAACAUCAGUUUCAACAGUCCAAGCAUUUGAAAAACAACUUAAUUCAGCCACGACUGAACUCAGAUGCAAAAAUUUAAUGCUGGGACUACUUCUACAUGAAUCUAAAGCAGAAAACACAAUUAACAGUUCUAAUCAAAAGAAAUGAAACUAAGAAAUGAGUUAAAUCAGCAAAAAAUGAAUGAGUACGAAACAGAACCUAAAAUGAACCUAUAAAUGUCUAACAUCAUCUUCUAAACUAUAUACAACCUAUACAAGCUAAGACGGGAUAAAAGAACCUAAAACAACUCUUAAACCAAAGUUCUACGAAAGAAAACAACAAAAGGAAAAGAGAAGAAGAUAAGAAAAUAAGUAACUAUGAAACUGUGGAAAUCCUAAUAAUAGAAUCAGGAACGAUAAAAACGAAAAGCAAUUCCUAAUGACAACUUAAAAUAAAACCUAGAAAGGAAAGAACCUAAAGCAAUUCCUAUUUACAGAAGCAAUGAACAAAGAAUGGUUUAAGGAAUUAAAGCAGAAAAUUGAAACAAGAAAAACAAAAAAAUAGAAUAAGAAAACGAGUACGAGCUCUAUUUACCAAAACAAUGCAAAGAAAAGAACCUAAGCANUCCUAGAAACAACUUAAUGAAUCCUAAAAGCAGCAAAAGAAAUAAACGUUUACAAAUCAAAAUUAAGAAUGACUAUUUACAACUAAAAGCUCAAUAUUUACAAACUCAAUCAAACCUAAAACUAAAGGGAAAAAAACAACUUAAAACUAAAAAUUGCCCCUUAAAAUAUUUUUUGUUUACUACAAAAACACAUUAACAGGGUUACUUCAGAGUGGAAACAAAAAUUUAACCUAUACCCUCUCACCUCCACACUUAAGAGGCACAUUGCCCUCAAUGUGAGUAAGGUUUUC
This 1031-nucleotide long non-coding RNA is filed under the name Vigna radiata. RNAcentral's name for it is "long non-coding RNA (VRAD_LNC016155)". The record is from RNAcentral. Lineage: Eukaryota; Viridiplantae; Streptophyta; Magnoliopsida; Fabales; Fabaceae.